This 72-nucleotide transfer RNA is filed under the name Acidobacteriota bacterium. Its description in RNAcentral is "Acidobacteria bacterium (activated sludge metagenome) tRNA-Gln". It matches the Rfam family "tRNA". Rfam says of the family: Transfer RNA (tRNA) molecules are approximately 80 nucleotides in length. Their secondary structure includes four short double-helical elements and three loops (D, anti-codon, and T loops). Further hydrogen bonds mediate the characteristic L-shaped molecular structure. tRNAs have two regions of fundamental functional importance: the anti-codon, which is responsible for specific mRNA codon recognition, and the 3' end, to which the tRNAs corresponding amino acid is attached (by aminoacyl-tRNA synthetases). tRNAs cope with the degeneracy of the genetic code in two manners: having more than one tRNA (with a specific anti-codon) for a particular amino acid; and 'wobble' base-pairing, i.e. permitting non-standard base-pairing at the 3rd anti-codon position. RNAcentral also lists the same sequence under 1 other name. The record is from RNAcentral. Lineage: Bacteria; Pseudomonadati; Acidobacteriota.
UGCGAAGUGGUGUAAUUGGCAGCACACUUGACUUUGACUCAAGGGAACUAGGUUCGAGUCCUAGCUUCGCAG